GGUACUAUAGUGUAGUGGUUAUCACUCGGGAUUUUGAUUACAACGUCUUCCCGGAACCCAGGUUCGAACCCUGGUAGUACCU
This is a transfer RNA of Trametes pubescens, 82 nucleotides long. It matches the Rfam family "tRNA". From Rfam's summary of the family: Transfer RNA (tRNA) molecules are approximately 80 nucleotides in length. Their secondary structure includes four short double-helical elements and three loops (D, anti-codon, and T loops). Further hydrogen bonds mediate the characteristic L-shaped molecular structure. tRNAs have two regions of fundamental functional importance: the anti-codon, which is responsible for specific mRNA codon recognition, and the 3' end, to which the tRNAs corresponding amino acid is attached (by aminoacyl-tRNA synthetases). tRNAs cope with the degeneracy of the genetic code in two manners: having more than one tRNA (with a specific anti-codon) for a particular amino acid; and 'wobble' base-pairing, i.e. permitting non-standard base-pairing at the 3rd anti-codon position. The record is from Rfam. NCBI's taxonomy places the organism in Eukaryota, Fungi, Basidiomycota, Agaricomycetes, Polyporales, Polyporaceae.